AGAGUUUGAUCCUGGCUCAGGAUGAACGCUAGCGGCAGGCUUAACACAUGCAAGUCGAGGGGCAGCGCGGGGUAGCAAUACUCUGGCGGCGACCGGCGGAAGGGUGCGUAACGCGUGAGCAACAUGCCCGUGGCAGGGGGAUAAGCGAUGGAAACGUCGUCUAAGACCCCGUAACAACAGGGUUCGCAUGGACUUUGUUUGAAAGCUUCGGCGGCCACGGAUUGGCUCGCGUCCCAUUAGGCAGUUGGCGGGGUAACGGCCCACCAAACCGACGAUGGGUAGGGGUUCUGAGAGGAAGGUCCCCCACAAUGGAACUGAGACACGGUCCAUACUCCUACGGGAGGCAGCAGUGAGGAAUAUUGGUCAAUGGGCGGAAGCCUGAACCAGCCAUGCCGCGUGCAGGAAUAAGGCCCUACGGGUCGUAAACUGCUUUUGUACGGGAGCAAUAAGGGCCACGUGUGGUCCGAUGAGAGUACCGUACGAAUAAGCAUCGGCUAACUCCGUGCCAGCAGCCGCGGUAAUACGGAGGAUGCGAGCGUUAUCCGGAUUCAUUGGGUUUAAAGGGUGCGUAGGCGGCGUGCCAAGUCAGGGGUGAAAGGUUCCGGCUCAACUGGGACAGUGCCUUUGAUACUGGUGUGCUGGAGUGCGCUUGCCGUGGGAGGAAUGAGUGGUGUAGCGGUGAAAUGCUUAGAUAUCACUCAGAACACCGAUUGCGAAGGCAUCUCACGAAGGCGUAACUGACGCUGAGGCACGAAAGCGUGGGGAUCAAACAGGAUUGGAUACCCUGGUAGUCCACGCCGUAAACGAUGAUGACUAACCGCCGGUCCGAUAGGGUCGGUGGCCAAGCGAAAGCGAUAAGUCAUCCACCUGGGGAGUACGACCGCAAGGUUGAAACUCAAAGGAAUUGACGGGGGCCCGCACAAGCGGAGGAACAUGUGGUUUAAUUCGAUGAUACGCGAGGAACCUUACCCGGGCUCGAACGGCAAGUGAAGAGAGACAGAGAUGUUGACGUCCUUCGGGACACUUGUCGAGGUGCUGCAUGGUUGUCGUCAGCUCGUGCCGUGAGGUGUCGGCUCAAGUGCCAUAACGAGCGCAACCCCUGCUUCCAGUUACCAGCACGUAAAGGUGGGGACUCUGGAGGGACUGCCACCGCAAGGUGAGAGGAAGGGGAGGAUGACGUCAAAUCAGCACGGCCCUUACGUCCGGGGCGACACACGUGUUACAAUGGCGGCCACAGAGGGAAGCUACCCUGCGAGGGGAUGCGGAUCUCGAAAAGCCGUCUCAGUUCGGAUCGGAGUCUGCAACUCGACUCCGUGAAGCUGGAUUCGCUAGUAAUCGCGCAUCAGCCAUGGCGCGGUGAAUACGUUCCCGGGCCUUGUACACACCGCCCGUCAAGCCAUGGAAGCCGGGGGCGCCUGAAGUUCGUGACCGCGAGGAGCGACCUAGGGCGAACCUGGUAACUGGGGCUAAGUCGUAACAAGGUAGCCGUACCGGAAGGUGUGGCUGGAACACCUCCUU
Molecule: ribosomal RNA, 1518 nt
Filed under: uncultured bacterium
Lineage: Bacteria
Description: bacterial SSU rRNA
Rfam family: Bacterial small subunit ribosomal RNA
Source: RNAcentral